This 468-nucleotide ribosomal RNA is filed under the name uncultured bacterium. RNAcentral describes it as "partial 16S ribosomal RNA". It matches the Rfam family "Bacterial small subunit ribosomal RNA", at positions 28 to 507 of the family's 1533-position model. The record is from RNAcentral.
GACGAACGCUGGCGGCGUGCUUAACACAUGCAAGUCGAACGGAAAGGCCCUGCUUUUGUGGGGUGCUCGAGUGGCGAACGGGUGAGUAACACGUGAGUAACCUGCCCUUGACUUUGGGAUAACUUCAGGAAACUGGGGCUAAUACCGGAUAGGAGCUCCUGCUGCAUGGUGGGGGUUGGAAAGUUUCGGCGGUUGGGGAUGGACUCGCGGCUUAUCAGCUUGUUGGUGGGGUAGUGGCUUACCAAGGCUUUGACGGGUAGCCGGCCUGAGAGGGUGACCGGCCACAUGGGGACUGAGAGACGGCCCAGACGGCUACGGGAGGCAGCAGGGGGGAAUAUGGCGCAACGGGCGGAAGCCUGAUGCAGCAACGCCGCGUGCGGGAUGACGGCCUUCGGGGUGUAAACCGCUUUCGCCGGAGACGAAGCGGGAGUGGCGGUAAUGGGUAAGGAAGCACCGGCUAACUACGUG